RNAcentral lists this ribosomal RNA (481 nucleotides) under uncultured bacterium. Its description in RNAcentral is "partial 16S ribosomal RNA". It matches the Rfam family "Bacterial small subunit ribosomal RNA", at positions 28 to 507 of the family's 1533-position model. The record is from RNAcentral.
GAUGAACGCUGGCGGCGUGCUUAACACAUGCAAGUCGAACGAAGCAUUUGCGACAGAUUUUUUCGGAAUGAAGUUGCUUAUGACUGAGUGGCGGACGGGUGAGUAACGCGUGGGUAACCUGCCUUGUACUGGGGGAUAGCAGCUGGAAACGGCUGGUAAUACCGCAUAAGCGCACAAUGUUGCAUGACAUGGUGUGAAAAACUCCGGUGGUAUAAGAUAGACCCGCGUCUGAUUAGCUAGUUGGUGAGAUAACAGCCCACCAAGGCGACGAUCAGUAGCCGACCUGAGAGGGUGACCGGCCACAUUGGGACUGAGACACGGCCCAGACUCCUACGGGAGGCAGCAGUGGGGAAUAUUGCACAAUGGAGGAAACUCUGAUGCAGCGACGCCGCGUGAGUGAAGAAGUAAUUCGUUAUGUAAAGCUCUAUCAGCAGGGAAGAUAGUGACGGUACCUGACUAAGAAGCUCCGGCUAAAUACGUG